GGCGAUGUAGCUCAGUUGGUUAGAGCAUUCGGUUCAUAUCCGAAGUGUCCGGGGUUCAAGUCCCUGCAUCGCUACCA
Molecule: transfer RNA, 77 nt
Filed under: Pseudomonadota bacterium
Lineage: Bacteria; Pseudomonadati; Pseudomonadota
Description: Proteobacteria bacterium (groundwater metagenome) tRNA-Met
Rfam family: tRNA
About the family: Transfer RNA (tRNA) molecules are approximately 80 nucleotides in length. Their secondary structure includes four short double-helical elements and three loops (D, anti-codon, and T loops).
Source: RNAcentral